RNAcentral lists this ribosomal RNA (253 nucleotides) under uncultured bacterium. RNAcentral describes it as "partial 16S ribosomal RNA". It matches the Rfam family "Bacterial small subunit ribosomal RNA", at positions 524 to 776 of the family's 1533-position model. The record is from RNAcentral.
UACGAAGUGGGCUAGCGUUGCUCGGAAUCACUGGGCGUAAAGCGCACGUAGGCGGCUUUUUAAGUCAGAGGUGAAAUCCUGGAGCUCAACUCCAGAACUGCCUUUGAUACUGAAGAGCUUGAGUCCGGGAGAGGUGAGUGGAACUGCGAGUGUAGAGGUGAAAUUCGUAGAUAUUCGCAAGAACACCAGUGGCGAAGGCGGCUCACUGGCCCGGUACUGACGCUGAGGUGCGAAAGCGUGGGGAGCAAACAGG